AGCAGCCGCGGUAAUUCCAGCUCCAAUAGCGUAUAUUAAAGUUGUUGCAGUUAAAAAGCUCGUAGUUGAAUUUCGGGAUUGACCCAUCGGUCGUGCCUUAAGGGGUAUGAACUGGUGUAGUCAAUUUCUCACCUUCUGGAGAACCGCGAUGUCCUUAAUUGGGUGCCGCGAGGAACCAGGACCUUUACUUUGAAAAAAUUAGAGUGUUUAAAGCAGGCAUUUUUGCUUGAAUACAUUAGCAUGGAAUAAUAAAAUAGGACGGCAUGAUUCUAUUUUGUUGGUUUCUAGGAUCACCGUAAUGAUUAAUAGGGAUAGUUGGGGGCAUUAGUAUUCAAUUGUCAGAGGUGAAAUUCUUGGAUUUAUUGAAGACUAACUACUGCGAAAGCAUUUGCCAAGGAUGUUUUCAUUAAUCAAGAACGAAAGUUAGGGAUCGAAGACGAUCAGAUACCGUCGUAGUCUUAACCAUAAACUAUGCCGACUAGGAAUCAGACGAUGUUAAUUUUUAAUGUACUUCGUUGGC
RNAcentral lists this ribosomal RNA (520 nucleotides) under uncultured Entrophospora. Its description in RNAcentral is "SSU rRNA". It matches the Rfam family "Eukaryotic small subunit ribosomal RNA", at positions 569 to 1084 of the family's 1831-position model. Lineage: Eukaryota; Fungi; Glomeromycota; Glomeromycetes; Entrophosporales; Entrophosporaceae. The record is from RNAcentral.